This 357-nucleotide unclassified non-coding RNA is filed under the name Hevea brasiliensis (rubber tree). The record is from RNAcentral. Lineage: Eukaryota; Viridiplantae; Streptophyta; Magnoliopsida; Malpighiales; Euphorbiaceae.
UUGGUGUUGGGGACCCUUCCCGGAACGUUAGCAUUCAGAUACAUGCUGGGACUUCACUUGCUCCUGGUGUUUCAUCCAGUGGCAGCAGGGUUAAUUUAGGGGAAGUUUUACGUGCUGAGCGGUCAAAUGCGCAACACACAAGCACAAACGGAAAUGGUUCUGGUGAUUCAGGUCCUACACGAGGAUUGUCCUCAAGAACUAUCGUGGCACCGAUCCCACCUCGUUCUGCCCCAGAAAAUACCCGUCAUGUGCUCAGUGUUAUUUACCCUGUUCAAGUGAGGUCUCAGCAAUCACAGCAGUCAGUCCCCAUCCAUUCAUCUUCUGUUCAAGCUUCCCAACCAUCUGUAAAUGAUGGGA